Molecule: long non-coding RNA, 217 nt
Filed under: Elaeis guineensis (African oil palm)
Lineage: Eukaryota; Viridiplantae; Streptophyta; Magnoliopsida; Arecales; Arecaceae
Description: long non-coding RNA (EGUI_LNC021642)
Source: RNAcentral
UGGUCAAUGGAUCCACCAAUGAGCGUAUAUAGGAUGAUAGAUAUUGCUUGCUUACAUUGCACAUCACAAAAUUCUGUUCAUGGGCUCAAGCUUGAAGCCUUUUGGGCAGACUUGAGCCUGAUGCCGGUCGAAGCUUGCAUAAGGGCUGGCCUUGGGCAGGCCCAAAGGAUGGGCUAGACUUAGCUCAAGCUUAAGUAAUUUUGUUAACCUUCUUCGG